This 345-nucleotide unclassified non-coding RNA is filed under the name Hevea brasiliensis (rubber tree). The record is from RNAcentral. Lineage: Eukaryota; Viridiplantae; Streptophyta; Magnoliopsida; Malpighiales; Euphorbiaceae.
GCAGCAUCACAAAAAGAAGGCCAAGGAGGCGAAGAAGCUGGGAUUGAAUAAAAAACGCAAGGUCGAGAAGGAUCCUGGUAUUCCUAAUGAUUGGCCAUUCAAGGAACAGGAGCUCAAGGCUCUUGAAGCCCGUCGGGCUCGUGCUCUUGAGGAAUUGGAGCAAAAGAAAGCUGCUCGCAAGGAGAGGGCUCAAAAGAGGAAGUUGGGAUUGCUCGAGGAUGAUGAUAUCUCUAAUUUUGCUGAUGUAGCUUCAGCAAAAGAACAAAAUUUUGAAGAGCGAAAUGUUGAUUUUAGUGGAAUUGCCAGAAACCGGGAUAAUUCAGAUAGGGCAUUCUAUAAGGAGUU